GUGAUGAGUCGCUCCACCGCGGCGCCGGGGCUUUAAGCCGGCGACGAGGAAAGUCCGGGCAACGCAGAGCACCCUGCUUCCUAACGGGAAGGAUGGGCCGCAAGGCUCAGACAGCCAGUGCCACAGAAAAUAACCGCCCGGCGGUAUAGUUGUCAGUUGUCCGUUGUUGGUUGUUAGUUUGUUCUAACGCACUGACAACGGAGAACUAAAAACUGACAACUAACUGCCAGGUAAGGGUGAAAAGGUGCGGUAAGAGCGCACCAGCGGCUGGGUGACCACGCCGGCUGGGUAAACCUCAGGGGUUGAAAGACCAAAUAAGCGGGUACGCCGGUGGGCAACCACCGGCACCGGGCGGCUCGUCCGGCAUCCGUGGGUAGGUUGAUGGAGCCUUUCCGCGAGGACUGGCCUAGAUAAAUGGUGGAGGCGCGGCCCCUUGGGGCAGCGUACAAAACCCGGCUUACAGACUCAUCACCCGU
Molecule: RNase P RNA, 476 nt
Filed under: Hymenobacter persicinus
Lineage: Bacteria; Pseudomonadati; Bacteroidota; Cytophagia; Cytophagales; Hymenobacteraceae
Description: Hymenobacter sp. 1-3-3-3 RNase P RNA component class A
Rfam family: Bacterial RNase P class A
About the family: Ribonuclease P (RNase P) is a ubiquitous endoribonuclease, found in archaea, bacteria and eukarya as well as chloroplasts and mitochondria.
Source: RNAcentral